Molecule: ribosomal RNA, 492 nt
Filed under: uncultured bacterium
Lineage: Bacteria
Description: partial 16S ribosomal RNA
Rfam family: Bacterial small subunit ribosomal RNA
Source: RNAcentral
AUUGAACGCUGGCGGCAUGCUUUACACAUGCAAGUCGAACGGUAACAGGCCUUCGGGUGCUGACGAGUGGCGAACGGGUGAGUAAUGCAUCGGAACGUGCCCAGAGGUGGGGGAUAACGCAGCGAAAGCUGUGCUAAUACCGCAUGUGAUCUGAGGAUGAAAGCGGGGGACUAAGCAGCAAUGUUUGGCCUCGCGCCUCUGGAGCGGCCGAUGUCAGAUUAGGUAGUUGGUGGGGUAAAAGCCUACCAAGCCGACGAUCUGUAGCUGGUCUGAGAGGACGACCAGCCACACUGGGACUGAGACACGGCCCAGACUCCUACGGGAGGCAGCAGUGGGGAAUUUUGGACAAUGGGCGCAAGCCUGAUCCAGCAAUGCCGCGUGCGGGAAGAAGGCCUUCGGGUUGUAAACCGCUUUUGUACGGAACGAAAAGGCUCUGGCUAAUACCUGGGGCUGAUGACGGUACCGUAAGAAUAAGCACCGGCUAACUACGUG